This 247-nucleotide ribosomal RNA is filed under the name uncultured bacterium. RNAcentral describes it as "partial small subunit ribosomal RNA". It matches the Rfam family "Bacterial small subunit ribosomal RNA", at positions 26 to 288 of the family's 1533-position model. The record is from RNAcentral.
AGAAUCAACGCUGGCGGCGUGCCUAACACAUGCAAGUCGAACGAGAAAGUGGAGCAAUCCACGAGUAAAGUGGCGCACGGGUGAGUAACACGUGACUAACCUACCCUUGAGUGGGGGAUAACCUAGGGAAACCUGGGCUAAUACCGCAUAAUACCUUCGGGUCAAAGGAGCAAUUCGCUUAAGGAGGGGUCGCGGCCGAUUAGUUAGUUGGCGGGGUAAUGGCCCACCAAGACUGUGAUCGGUAUCC